RNA transcript from Dermochelys coriacea (leatherback sea turtle), 13575 nucleotides. It is a transcript of the gene named Wnt family member 7A, with no coding region annotated. The transcript has 5 exons. The record is from RefSeq and is a predicted model, not a curated record. Lineage: Eukaryota; Metazoa; Chordata; Testudines; Dermochelyidae.
CGCGACAUUGCCCCCCCCCCCUUCCCGCGAUGCACCGCAACGAGCGGCCACAGGGCAGCUGCGACGAGCGACUCUAUCCGGGUCCUGGGCGCUGCUCCGGGUCAGCCUGCAGCAGGCUUCAACAGAUUUGGCCAAAAACGUUUGAGGCUUUGAAACUGCUGCUACGACCUGCAGAGUAUUGACAACUGUGACUCUGCUUUAAAACAGACCUGGUGGAAUGGAAGUGAGCACUGAGAUGUUGGAUUCAAUUUAUAGCUCGAAACAGUGAAGAAAACGAGUGGUGGUAGACCGACCAUCUGUCUGUGACCAGUUAUUGCAGCAUGUAAUCAACAGCCAUUAUCUUGAAGCAUAAUCUGAUGGACGGACUAUAAGACCUGGAGUCGCACCGAGUCUGCUUCCCACUCUGGCGUGCUGUAUGAUGACCAAUGGCAUCUUCUUCAUUGGUAAAAUGAGGACUGAACGUACUCAUGCUGAUUUGAGAUUACAUCUAUGGAAGAAGAUUGUAAUUAACCCAUUUUUAAAAGAAAAUUGAGUUUUAGAUAUCUUUCUUGCUCUGCAUCUUGCUGUCUAUCCAGAGGAGAAGUCUUGAGAGCCCCUAAUGGUGUGGAAAAGAUGUCCCCUGCUGUGUUACUUAGGGGUAGUCAGUAUGUAUUUCAGUACUUUUUAAAGAAGCUUACACAGUAUUGUACAUCUUCUGGAUCAUGCCAGGAGCUGUUGCACUGAACCACGCUAUUGACAGGACCAGGUUCAAGAAUUGUUUCCUUCCUCUACUUUAAGCAUGUAAUGAGUAUUUUCCUUGUGCCUAACUGUACUUUCUGUUGCAGAGCCAAUAAAUCUUAAACUGUUGUAUGACUCUUUAUUUAGGGUAAGAGUACCUAAAUUUUCAUAAUAGAAUGCAGUACCUCAACAAACUUACUUCACUUUCCAAAGGCUAUAAUUAUAAAUUAGUGUAUUUUAAAGGAAUAUUUUUAUUCCACUAGAUGAAGUACAGCUUAGGUAUGAUCUUUGAACAUUGUUGUUAAACUUCAGUAUAUAUGGUAGGUGGUGGUAGCAUUAUUUUUAUGGAUACCACACAGGCUUUUACUUCAUCCCACAACUGAUAGCUUUUGAUUGAGGGGACCUAGCUUCAUGGUGCUCAUCAGCAUCUCUUCUAUUCAAAUGGAGGUGUUCACAAAGCUUAUCACUAUAUAUUGCUCAAAGGGAACAGCUCUAGCUAAGCAACAACUGCAGCUAAAAUGAAGGAUUAUUAAAUGUUUCUCCUUUUACAGGUUAAAGGAAUAUGCUCUUAAAAUACUUGUUUCGUCACUUUCAGCUACCACACCUACGAUGCUGAUGUUGUCACAUGCCACAGCUGUAAAGCCCCUGUUGUGGAAAAAUUGUGAACAGAACAAGUUAAAACAAAAGCCUUUUAACAGGGAGCUAGUUCUACAAUUUAAAGUUUAAACACAUUACAUCCAUACUACUUUAAUCUAGCAGCCCAAAGCACUUAGGCACCCUAAACUUUCAGAAUGUGGCAGGAGGAGAGUCUGAAUAUUGCCUUAGCAGUAUGUUGCAUAAGCUCUUCCUGGAGUUUAAACUCUAUUACGCUGCAGCAGACCCAACUUACUGAAAAAUAAAAAGGUGUAACUAACUGAUUUACAGCAGAAAUUGACUUUAUACAAAAGAAUACUAUGCAAAAUACAAAAAACACAUGCUCAGUUCACUAGAAAUUUUUUACAUAUAAAAAGGCCUGAAUGGCUGAAGGUCAUGUAUCUUCCACAGUUGUUUAAACAGCGGGGUAAUUUAUUCCUGAAAAGGUCAUUUAAGUUUUGUUUGUUUUUUUUGUCACUGUUGCUGUCUUCUCCAAAGAAAAUCUGCCCUGUGUCGAUUAGCAAUCUCAGUUCAGCUUUCAAUGUAUUGAGUUAUCCACAUGUUUUUGUAAGUGGAAGCAAAUUAAUCAUAUACUAAACAAAGGCUUGAUUUAUAUCACAACUUGCUAGCUUUUUCCAAUUACCACUUCAGCUUUCUUACCGUGACCAUCUGUGGGUUCCCCCUAGUAAGUAAUAGCGACUCGUCAGCGAAGAGAUUUUGUUUACUUUUUUCCAUGUGUACACACGGAGUGAGAGAUCCAAAGAUGAUGUGACAACACGAAAAGAAUCCUUCCAAUUUAAAAUAAAAUACUGUAGUUAAAGUACAGUAAACAAUGCAAAAAAAAAUUAGUACUAAAUCAUUGAGGCACAUACCACCCAUAUUGAAGUGAUUGUAUUGUUGUGAUGCUGAAAAGCUUCUAAUUGAGUCCCAAAAAUUGAAUAUAGUUUCAAGUUUGAUCCACAUCCUAGAAGAAUUGUUUCUGUUCCGUGCCCUUCCAUGAGAAUUGCUGUGGUCCAAGUGCUUUGUGGUAAUGUGAAACUUGCAACCUGUUGAGCUUUUAUAAAGAAAAUACAGUACUUGUAAACACCCAUACUCUCAAGAUUAUAUUUCAACUCUAAAAUCACUUCUAUUAAAAUCUGCAGUAUAAAGUUUAGAUAUAUAUAUCUAUUUUUAAAAAGAAACCCCUUCUCUGGGGGCCAGACAGCUUGGGCCUGCUUACUAUGAGCAUGAUAUCAAUGUUCUUUUCCAUGAUCUACCUCUACCAUCCCAUAAUAGGUCUCCCUCUCUUUGUGAUACAGCUACAUUGUCAGUCAGGAGAAGCAGUUGAUAAGGAGCCCUGUUUUUACAUAAGGGGUUGCAAGCUUUGUGUUCUCGAUGAGGGUCCCUUAACUUUGGAAAUAACUUUCUAGCCACCAGGGACUAUGUGUGCAUAUUUUAAUUUAUCCUCUUAUCCUUUUGUAUUCUGCAAGGGAUACAGGGGGGGAAAAACAUCUCUCUACUCCUUAAGUAACUUCUUGAGAACAAAGGGGGGCCUGCCACUGUACCCCAAUGGUCAGCUGGCUCUCUUGGAGCAGUGGUAGUGAUUGUUUCCAGAGUUGAGUAGUCCUAGAUACGUGUCUGUGUGCUGGGACAGUACAUAGGGAAAUUGUUGGCUUCAGUAAGGACACAAGCUAUGUACAGCUUUACAGAUCAAUUUCAAACACCUCAAACUGCAAGCAGAAGCCAAUUAACGUAGUUCCUGAAGAACAGCUGCAACAAAUGCAACUUAUUUUUUCCAGUCUCCUAUAAUAAGUAACAAUGGAUUUUACCCACAUUAAAAAAAAAAUCUUGAGAGACCAAGUAUAGAAAAAUAGAACUUGGAAAGAGUUUUGUAUCCUGAACUAUCAGUAAUCACAGGUGUCUACUAUUAAAAAAACAAAACCACAAAUGGAAUAAAAUUAUUUCUCUGCUAUGAGGUGUUUAUAGGCAAUAGUUAUCAAAACAUACCUAGAACUUCUGUUUUACAUUUAGACUUUUUGACAGCUAGAUCAAAGACUGUGAUGUUCCUUCGAACUGACAUGCGAUCUUGGUGCAUUACUGCUAUUCUUGCUGGUGCUUUUGGUAACCAGCAGACUACAGCACAAUUGUUGACAGGCAGAGAACUAGAUAUGGGUGGUUCAUCCCCUGGGUUAAUCAAGCAAUCUGUAUAAAAUAUCUGGUGUAGGGAAAAACAAAGAAAUAUACUAUUCAAUCUGCAGUGCCACCUAUGAAAAAACCUUAAAGUCUUCAUAAUUCUUGCUAAGGAUUUUUUCCAUAAAGAAAAGCUUUUUGCUAAAUCAGAUUUAUUGAAGUUUAUCUUUCAAUGGUUUAUUGAAAGUCAUCACUGUCUUAAUGAAAAGUGCGAGUUUGGUGCUUGUGAAAAUAUGGGAUAGGACCUGGCAUAGCUGAGCCUUAGAGCCUGUCUCCACUUAGCAGGGGGAUCGACAGACAGUGAUCGAUCAACCAAGGAUCCAUUUAGCAGAUCUAGUGAAAACCCGCUAAAUUGACCGCUCUCCCGUAGACUCCACUGGAACCAGAAGCGUAAGGUAAGUCGAUGAGAGAGUUUCUCCCGUCGACCAAGUGCAGUGUAGACACUGCAGUAAGUCGAUCUAAGGUACGUCGACUCCAGCUACAUUAUUCACAUAGCUGGAGUUGUGCAACUUAGGUCCAUUUAGCCCAGUACCAUACAGCUGCCCACAGACUGAGCUGUAUUCCUUACACAGCUCUGCCAGUGUAUCUGAAUGUUUAAUGACAGCAUUCUCUGCUAUUCCAGUCCACUUUCCUUUUGUCCAAGAGGCAGUUGUGCUAAAAUGUGCAUGUGGAAAGGGUAUAGGGAGUGUUGGAUGCUAGCAGAGUACUGCUGAAAGUGGUACUUUUUGUACAAAGAGGAUCACAAAUGACUUGUGGCUUGGUUUAUUAUUUUGUGAGGUGUUUCUAGUAAACUUUUCAGUGUCCAUUCUAAAACAUAAUCUGACCUAUCAAGGGUGGUUGAAAAUUGGUUGUUGCUCAAGUUAUCUAAUUUAUGGUAGAAUAUCUCUUACACAAAUACGAAUCUAGGGUGAGUUCAAAGCUGGUUGGGAAACAUUUUCUGCAAAAAUGUAUCCGGAAUUGGGACAAAAAUGCCAAAGCCUCAAAUUUUCACAGAACUGAAAUCCCACAUGAUUUUGUUUCAGAAACACUGAAAGAUGGUGUUUCCAAAAUGAAAUGUGCUCUCUGGGAUCCCUGGCUGCCCAUCUAGUAGGCUGCAGUGGAGAUGGGGACACCAGAAACCCUGACAGUUGCUAAUGAAAGUAAUGAUUGUCUCGCUGCCCAUCACUGAAUAGCAGUUGUGAAAUUGGCCAGACUCUGGUCAAGUUACGCAUCUUGUCAGUUUCACAGCUGCUAUUUAGUGGUGGGCAGCAGUGAAACUGAAAAUAAUGGUCAGUUUGUCUGCAUCUGCCAGAGUUCUUGGGUCCUCUGUAGCCUACCUGGUGAACUGACUGGGAGCGUUGAUUCACAAGCUCCUGUUGCAGCUAGGACUCUCAGAAGUUGGGCAAUGGAGGGAAGUAACUGGCCUGGAAGAUAUGGGGUCCUGAAUCCAGGGAAGUCCACAUAGGCCCGCUGGCAGAAAACCAGGCAGGAGUCCAAUAUAAAUUUGUCAAAAUCUACCCCUCUCCAAAAAAACCAUUUAGGUUUUGACAAAUCAACAACUUCCGAUGAAAAAAGUGUCUUGCUGGAAUUUAGCUGAACCUAGCCGUUAGCAAGGAAAUUCAGUUGUAAGAUUUCUCAUUCUGUAAAGAUCAAGAGCUUGACAGUAACCACUAGGUGUGUCAGAUGCCCAACACUGAAAACAAGUUAUUUGUUUACUCUUCCAGCAAAGGUUCUAUGGUAUUUUUAUUUUUCAAAUUUUCACAUUAGUUAUUAGCAGAUAUGGAAAAUUGCUACAUAGCCUCUACUUGCACCACCAAAAAUAUAAAAUGCAACAUUUUAGAUAUUCAAAUUCAGUCUGUUGCAUUAUAAGCAGAAUGUUUUGUAACAGAGAAAGCUGCAUUAUAAAUUAUGUGUAAUGCCAUUAAGAUUUAUGGGAUAAAAUACAUUGAGUGCUUCAUUCAGGAAGGGCAAAUUAUUUACGUUAAUUAGGAAAAUAUUCUAACAAAGGAAGAAUAAAUAUUUCCUACUUUGAGAUAGAGAUUGUUCUAGUGUAUAUAAAUGCUGCCGAGUCCAUGAGUCAGUCAGUAAGAUACACCAAUAGAUCCAAGAAGAAGGCAAGAGACUAUAUUAAAACGUUGUAGAGACCCUAUAUUUAAAUGCAGCUCCCAAUUUUACGUGAGCGUUUAACAGCAUACUGUACCUUUGGAGAUGUAUCUGCAUUCUCAGUAGAUCCAGCAACUAGCCAUUGCUUGUCCGGUGAACAAAGUAAUAAAUCAAUGCUAGAAUUUUGAAAUGCUGCAAUACAUGAAACCUGAUUUAAAUUAGGAACUUCUAACGUAUAGAUAGCACCUUCUGCAGUAGCUGCCUAUAAGAAAGAAACAUGGUUACAUCCCAGCUUCUGUAAAAAAGAAUGUAUAUGAAUCUGAAGGUUUAGUGCUCAUGAAAUCAAGCAUUUUUGUCUCAUCUGAAUUUAAACUUUGAGUGGUACUAUCAGCACCAGGCUUGAAGACUAAAUUGUAUCUUACAUCAAGAUGUGCAUAGCACAGAGUCUCUCACAUAGUCCAUUCAAAAGAAAAGGAAACUUCCUACUGAGGCUUUUAAAAAGAAAAAGUGGAGUCCAUUUUUAGGGGUCAUCAUAGAUGCUUUCCUGAAUCUCUUACAGCAGUUGGCAUACAGGAUGAACCACCUCCUUAUAUGUAGUGUGGUGAAUCAGACACCUUCUAUGUAUUGUGUAUCAGGAGCAGCAGAAGCAAAAGGCAGUGGAGAGAGAUUUCCUAAUGAUUCAACGUCUUUGAUUCCGGUCUCUGAAGUGGGAAUUCAAUUCUCCGCCACUCCAUCAAGUGCUGCUGCAGUAGCACAAUGCCACUAUGCUGUAAUUUUGAACUGCUAUAAUAUACAUUCAGUCCUCUUAACCCUGUUUCCAGCAGUUAUGAGGAAUACAGGAAUGUGCAGUAUUCAUCCCCUCACUAGCAGCACUAACUCCACAGAGGGCUGAAACAGUCACUUCCCAAAUAAGCCCCACAGACACAACUAUAGUUAAAGCCUUUUUCUAUUCCUAUCCAAAAUAAGCACAAAUUCUAUUGUCCUGCUCUGGCAUACUUCCACACCACACAUGCCUCUACUUGUUCCAUUGUAAUAGCAAGGCAGAAGAUGUACAUUACAACCAUUUGUAUAAACACUUAGUGUGUGGCAUUUUCCUGUGUUCUAGAUACUUUGUUCCAAAAAGAUGUAGACAAACUCAAGGGAGUCCAAGGAAGAGGGCUUGGAGGAAAGAUUAGAAGAACUAAAUAUAACGUGGAUAAGGAGAAACUCGAAAGGGAUAUGAUGGUCUCCAAAGUGUAUAAACACAAGGGAGCAUGACUGUGCUAUAUCAACAGAAAAAAAAUGAAGUUAGUAAAAUAAUAAAUUUGAAGCUAAAUAUCAGAACUCCAGGCUGUGAGAACUAAAGCCCUUUGAAGAGACACAUCCACACAGUCUAGUGGUUAAAGUUCCAUCCCUGCAGACUUUUGAAAUGAGAUUGGAUGAAGCACUAGAUCAUAGAUCAUCCAGUGCAGAAUAAUUAAUUCUUUACAGACUGUCCUAGGAUGAAAUCCUGGCCUCACUGAAGUUAACUGAAGUUUUGUCAUUGAUUCCAAUAGGGCCAAGAUUUCACCUGAAGUCUCUUUCAAUAAAUUUUAUGCACCUUUAAUUCCUAUCUCCCAAUGCUUAAAAUGCACCAUAUCAGACACGUAUUCCUCAUUAUUUUAAGUGAGCACAUAUCUAGGUGUAGCUGACCUUGUUAGACAAGUGGUCAUUAAUUUACAGUCACCUUGGUUUACUUACAGUUAGGAAGGGCUUAUUGUUCACUGAGUAGGUAACCAGACUGGACGAGGACGACGAUGUGGAGAAUGCAGCAAGCUCUUCCCCAGUUUCUCCAUGCCAGACUUUAAUGGUUCCAUACGCGUCUGUGCUGAUUGCUAGUUUGUACUGUGGGACAGUAAUAACCUUUACAAAUGGCACUUCCUGGGAGGGACUUGACCAUAUCUGUGUACCCUGAACAAAAAUAUGCAGUUAGGGGCCAGCUUAUGGGCAUUUUAAAUAGUUUUAAAUUGUUAUCAAUAAUGCAUCCCCUUUUUCCCCGUUGUUUGUUUUCAUAUGUAUAUACCAUUGAAGAUAUUACCUGUUUCAAUAACAUUUUCCUUGGUAUUUUCCAGUCUUGGUGUUGAAAUAGUUUUUCUUUAACAAGAUAGCCAUUAUUUUCUCGUUUUUGGAACUCUCUCCCCCCACUGGAUUCUACUAAUGACUCAGCUUACUCCAUUGUAUUUCAAAAAUCCUAAAUUGCAGCCAAGAAUUGUUUCUAAAGAUGACAUCAUUUUAAAUAACCUGAUGUUUCCUUUGCACCACAAAUCUCACUUGUUCUCCCCACACCCAAUGACUGCAGACCACAGGACUGGAAAAUUCCACUCCUUCACCCCCACAUGAUAGCAAGAAUCUGCAAUAGUUUUUAAAUCUUCCUUCUCCCCUAUUCUCUUUUACUGUCCCUACCAUCUUUAGGGUACCAUCACAAACUGGUCUGCAUUGAGAAUUAAAAGCACAUUUUAGAGCCACAUGUACAUGCAGACAGACUACACAGCAACAUUUGCUACCUUGCUAUGCAGAUUCAUCUCAGUUUGGACCCUUUGCUACUCAAGUCCUGGGUCUCCUGAGCAGGAACUGCCAAUAGCAUUUCACUCUGCCAAAAUGGAUGGUGGUUUCUGAAGUGGUCUAAUGUUCACAAGAAUUAAAUUGAGACCAAGCACACUUCCACAAGUCAUCUUUGCAAGAAUUGAUUCUAGUGGCCCAGUUAAUCUUUGGCAUAAUUCUGUUCAGGUCAACUGAUACAAGCAGAGGUGCACCUGCUUGCUUCCAUGGGUCAAGUUCUAUCCUGUUGUAACUGACACAGAAAUCCUGGGCUGAACUCAACAGUAACAAACAGUGUUGUAAAUUAGUCAGAAAAUGGGUGUGCAUGUCAGAUGAUUGAUGUUAUUGGUUAUGGUCCAUUGAUUUACCAUUUAAUAGGCAUGCAAAAUAGAGGUGUGUAAUACUGCAUGCCAAAGGUUUGUAGGGGGGAAAUACUACCAAUACUGGCACCAGCUAACUUAGAAGUUUGCCAUAUUAUUGCACUCAUUUCCCCAACCAUGUUUACAAGGGUCUGUCUCUCAUAAUUGAUCUUGAAUGCUUUACAUUUGGCCAGUUAAACGACACUGGUUCAAUUUAAGCUGUAUUUUCUAACUGUACGUGAUACUGUGCAGUCCUGGAGUAUCUUAAUAUUACCAUUUUAAUUUUGAUUGCAUUUAACAAGUCUAGUUUCUCUAAAAGUAAUAUUCCCCAAUAGCUGUUUUCAGGGGCACCAACCUAAAGCCCAAUAUUCAGUGACUAUCUUAAAAAAAAAAAAAGUAGAAAUCAACACAUACGGCACUUUAAUCUUAUUGCAAAAUUUCACAUUAACCUUUAGGCAAGAUUGUCAGGCUAAACAUUGUGUAGUCCGUCCCCCCGCACCCCCAGAAAAAGCAGCAUCAGCAAAUACUUUAUGCUCUUAGAAAUGCUGAUCUAAGAUCUAAUUCAAAUGAAGCCAGUGGAGCUUUGAUGCAUGAAGAACCUUCACAGUAAUAGGACAGAAUACCAGAAAUAUGAAUUGCUUGCAUACUCUGCCAGAUCUCUUCCUCUCAAAUGUGGACAGAGAAGUUAGGGAAGAAAAGUCUGAUCUCAUUAAUAUACCAUGUUUUUUGUGCUGUGAUUUGAAUUAGAUAUUGAACAUUACGGACCACAAGCCUGCAUCUCUAGUCAGAGUUUAAGGCCACAAGGAACCAUCCAACACCCACAUGCUAAACCCCACAAUCAAAAUGAGACUAAAGGACUAGUCUAUUCUGUGCCACAGGCAGAGAACAGGAGGGCCCAAGCUGCACCAGUGGCCUAGGCCCCCACAAUGGCAGGGAAACAUCAGACUCUCCUAAAAACAAAUUGUUUGCUCGUACAACUCCUAUUGAGAGGGUGUUCUAGAACCUCUUUCCUCUGUUGGUUAGAAGCCUUCUAAAUUUCAGCCUGAAUUUGUUCAUGGACAGUUUACAUUCAUUUGCUCUUGUGCCAACAUUGUCCUUUAUCUUAAAUAGCUCUUUGCCUCCCUGGUAUUUACCCCUCCUCCCCCAACAUAUUUAUAGAUAACAAUCUUAUCCCUUCUUAGACUUUUGCUAGCCUAAAUAAGCCAAGCUCUUCCAGUCUCCUGUCAUAAAAUACGCCCUCCAUUCCCUAAUCAUCCUAUUUCCUGAAAGUGGGUGACCACAAUUGUAUCCAGUACUCCAAGCGAGGUGUUACUAGUACUUUGUACAAUGGCAUUAUUGUUUCUCUGUCUACUGGAAAUGCCUCUCCUAAUACAUCCUAGGAUCGCAUUUGCCUUUUUCACAGCCACAUUAAAUUGAUGACUCAGUUAUCCUGUUCUUGACCCAUACACCCAGGUGUCUCUCCUCCUCUGUCGCUUCCAACUGAUGGACUCCACAUGAGUACCUGGGGUGUUAAUCUUUUGUGAUCAAGACUGGCACUACUGCUAAAAAGGGCUUAAACUACGAGAUGAGGUUGGAAGAGGCUCAUGAAGUCUCCAGUGUACUGAAGCCAGGCAUGGAGCAAGAAAACCAGCUAACAGAAGAUAUAGUAAGGGAUAAGGGAAUAUCACAAGCUAGAAAACUGGGUGAGGUCUGAGGGAAACAACUGAAGUGCUUGUACACCAAUGCAAGGAAUCUGGGCAACAGAAUGGAGGAACUGGUACUACUGGUGCAGGAGGUUAAACCAGAUAUAGGAAUUAUAGAAACGUGGUGGAAAAGCACUCAUGACUGGAAUAGAGGUAUUGAAGGUUAUGUACUGUUAAGAGAGAGAAAAAUAAAGGUAAAGAUUGUGGGGUAGCAUUGUACAACAACAAAGCUGUAAACUUAAAGAAGUGAUAGUACAGACAAAAUCUGUUUUGGUCAAAAUCACAUUGGGGAAGGGUUGUAAAAGGAGGUUCUCCUGGGAUAGUAUUAGGGGUCUGCUAUAGAAGAGUCAGACUCUGUUAUGGAUAGCAAUCACUUCAGUAUUAUUAGAGAAAUACUUUGCGGACUUGUGUCAUAAUGGGAAACUUUAAACUUCCUUGAUAUAGAUUGUAGAAUAAAUACUACUAAUACUUGUAAGGCCCAGUUAUUCCUGGAUGUGAUAGAUGACAGUUUUCUUCAUCAAAUAGUCACUGAACCAACAAGAGGUGAUGCAAUUUUAGACUUAAUUUUAUUAAGUAGUGAGACAUCACAGAAGAGCAGGUCAUGGGAAGUAAUCUUGGAUUGAGUGAUCACAAAUUGAUUCACUUUAAAUUAAAUGAAGGACAAUCCAAACCAUGUCAUCAGCUCUGUUUUUUUAUUUCCAAAAGGGCAGACUUUGGGAAAGUAAGGAAAUUAGUUUAAGUCAGUUGGAGUGAAGAGCUCAAGGACUUAAAUAUGAAAGAGGCUUGAAAUUUCUUCAUAUCAACUAUACAAAAACAAUCUGAAAUUUGCAAAACUUGUAGGGAAAGGCUCCAGACCCACCUAGAUGAAUAGCCACCUCAAAAAAGGUUCAUAGGAGGAAGCAGAGAGCUUGUAGGGAAUGGGAAAAGGGGCUUAUCAGCAAACAAAGGUAUAUUGUAAAAGUUAGAAAAAUGUAGGAAUAAAGUGAGAAUUGCUAAAAGUCAAGCUGAAUUAGCUCUUGCCAAGGAAAUUAAAUAAUAGGGGUUUUUUAUGUAAAUAAAAAGGAAGGAUGAGGUUGGGCCACUAUGCAGUGUGGGUGGCAAAGAGAUUUAAGAUCUAGGUAUGGCCCCAAAACUAAAACUAGUGAGUGUUCUCUUUUGUACAUUAAAAAAUGCCACGAUUCCCCCCUGCAUAACAUUAGACAGAUGACACUAGGAACAAAAACUGGGUUAUCUGUAUUCCCCCUUUCUUAUUUACAUAUUAGCCAUCUUAUGGCCUCUGUAUUUUUGGAAUCGUUCACUCGGUUUCAAUUGAAAAGCAUGGGCAGUGUCUGAUCUGUAUUUUAACUAUUGCCUUCUGAUGAUUUAGAGCUAUUCUAGAACAACAAAUCGUAUAAGAGGAGUUGGAUACAUAAUUGUUUUUUAAAUGAUGGUAUUGCUAUUCUUGAUUGUGACACUGGACUUUUAAAGAGUGUGCAUCUCACCUCUUGGACCUGCCAUGCUCGGAUAGUGCCAUCAGUAGAUGCAGUGCAAACCACAGACCUCAGCUUUCCAGCGCCAAACACGUGCUCGUUGUCUGAGAGAUAAGCCAUACCAACUAUUUCACCUACAAUAAUAAAAUACAACAAAAAUAUCAGUAUGACCGUCAACUGAUUUCAUGCCCACCAGGAACAGUAAGGCACCUAUCCAGCAAAGCAUUAAAUAGGAGCCUAAUGGCAUUAAGCAGAAUGGGGAUACAAAUUGGGGGAGGUCUGGAUUGUUUCCUGGCACGUUAUCAUUCUGCACUUUCAAACACGGUCUAGAGUUUGUUCCUAAUAUUCAGAGGAACGGUAGAUACAGUGUUCCAUUUUUCGUGAGUGUGAUGACUCACUUAUUAGUGUAGCCCAUGCUGUUAUCCAAAACCUGUUCAGUCAAAAUAAAAAAAACUUUUCAUGCAACAACAACAACAACAAAAGUGUCUGCAGGAGAGAAAAAUAAAUCACAUAAAUUAUCCCCGAUGCUGAUGAGGUGAUUAAACAAUAUUUAUUUCAGCAAGUAACUCUUCAGAAUAUCAUCUGGGUAGUAAUAAAAUGCCUUAGUUAAAACUGUUAACCCUUUGCUUGACAAUCUUACUGUUUGAAAAUAUGAUGUAUUCCAAAACUUGCAUUCUAGUUGAUUUUAUAAUAUGAUGCCUUCAUGGCUUGAGUUAGCACGAAAUUAAAGAGUAAAUUGCACUAUCUGAAGGGAAUAUAAUAAAUUAGAUUCAACUUUUAUUUGUGUGUGGAAUCCAGAGUCCAGUCUUAUUUUUACGUGUGGGUGCUAUUUAAUUUGGACUUCACUGAAGGUGACAUGCAACUCAGAGGAUAUCGGGCCAGAUUUUUACAAGGUAUAUGUGUGUCUAAAGAUAAAGAUAGGCACUUAACUCCCUUUAAAAAUCUGGCCAUAGUUAUCAGUGAAGAGAGAAUUUAUUUAAGCAGGAUGGAACAACAGAUGAGAUUUUUAUUUGGUUUUAUGUCACUGUCUUUGAAGACGACAUUUUCUGCAAAAUGUUACGGUAUAAAGCUAGUAAUUUUAAAACAUUCAGGGCUCUGUUCUCCUGAGAAUGUGCACACCCCAUCAUACCAUACGGCCAAUUUUCCAAGGUGCUUCAACUGAAUCUGAAGAUUUUCCUCAUGGUUUUGUACCAGUAAAACUUUCCAGCUUUUGGAUUUGUGGGAUUUGCAUGUAAAAAAAAUGCACGUUCAAACUGGGAACAACAAUUUUGCAGGCUGCUAAAGUCUUUAUUGCUAAUGUAUAAAGCAUUUGUCUGCCUAGAUCCUAUGAGGGGUUGGAUCCAUUUGUACAAAACACCUUACAACAACAGAAGUAACCAUUCUUUUUACCGUUUUCUCACAUACCUUUAUGCCCCCUCAUGGACCUACAUAUAUAAUCAGCUGAUGGCCGGCCUGAUGCCAUUUCAUGCUCAAGUUUGGAGCGGUGGAGAUAGUACUGUUUCCAUGUCUGCAUGCCUGGAGUCAGGUUGGAAAUAUUGCAAAAGGUCCAACGAUCUAGGCACAUCCUUCUAUAAAACAUAAAGGUAACACUAUUCAGUUAAAAGUAGGGGAUGGUCAUUCUGCAACAUUUUUCUUAACUAUUCACAUUUGCUGGAUGUCACUAGCUAGGUACAUCCAAAUAUUUGUCAUGGAUAAAAGCAUGAUUUUGUUGUUUACUUGGGGAAUUUAAGAUGUGGCAGUGGAGAAAGGGAAUUCCUCCCCAGUUACAAAACAAGACUCUGCAGUCACCAUCAUGAAAUAUGAAGAGAUGGAAAUAAGGAAACACCAUCAUGGAUUGAGAGUACAAACAUUGUUGUGUGUGCCUCCGCUAUUUUGCUCAAUGCAAUUAAAAAAUUUAAAAAAAAAAAA